This 33-nucleotide non-coding RNA is filed under the name Geotalea daltonii FRC-32. Lineage: Bacteria; Pseudomonadati; Thermodesulfobacteriota; Desulfuromonadia; Geobacterales; Geobacteraceae. The record is from RNAcentral.
AAUUUCGUCACCUCCCAGCAAAUGGCGGACCAU